RNAcentral lists this unclassified non-coding RNA (751 nucleotides) under Hevea brasiliensis (rubber tree). Lineage: Eukaryota; Viridiplantae; Streptophyta; Magnoliopsida; Malpighiales; Euphorbiaceae. The record is from RNAcentral.
GUGUAAUGGUUCUAACUUCAAUUCUGCAUAUAUGAUAAAUGAUAAAACAAAAUCUGUACUUAAAUGGAAUUGAUAUUUAAUAAAUUUAAGAUAAAAAAAAAUUUUGUUGUGAUGUGUCCCAUAUUUAGAUAUAUUUUUAUGGGUUUGAAUUAUGACCCAAUUUAAAAAAUUUGCAAUGUAACCUGAAUUCAAUAUUAUGAUUUGAUCAAAUGAGCAUGAUAGAAUCCAAGGGUAAUUUUGAAUUAAACCCAAAAUCACAUUUCGACACAACUCAACUAUGAAAUUUUUAUUACCCUAUGCAAAACUUUAAUAUGACCUGGUGGUCUAACUCUUCACACAGAUUAACAGACCCAUAUCUUACUACUUUAAGACUUCACUUGGACACACCUCAUCUUAUUGUCUCGCCUGAACACACCUUAGCAUAAAUAUCUCCUUACUCCAAUGAGAGCCUAGUUCUAUUAUUACACUCAUGAAUCAGAAAUCAAAGUAUAUAUUGCAAUACUUAACAUUAUGAAUAUCCAACAAUGAGCUACUGUCUUAGCGCUGUGAGGUUUUGAAUUUUAUAUUUAAUAAUGGUAUCUCAUAAAUUAAUUAUAUGAUAAAGUUGUGGCAAAAAGUUUAUAUCAAUCAUUUCUCAAGAAAAAAAGCAGGACAAGUAAUAAUUGUGGAUGCUAUUCAUAGCAAGGAUCAAUAUUCAUUGCAAGGAUCAAAAGAUACGAUCUUACCAGGAUUAGGAUAGAACUUCAUAGGA